UAUUAUUGAAUUGAUGGUAGAUUAUAUUGU
Molecule: non-coding RNA, 30 nt
Filed under: Mus musculus (house mouse)
Lineage: Eukaryota; Metazoa; Chordata; Mammalia; Rodentia; Muridae
Source: RNAcentral